GGGCCCGCACAAGCAGCGGAGCGUGGGGUUUAAUUCUGACGCAACGCGAAGAACCUUACCAGGACUUGACAUGACCAGGAAAACGGCGGAAACGUCGUCCCCCCGCAAGGGGCCUGGCCACAGGUGUUGCAUGGCUGUCGUCAGCUCGUGUCGUGAGAUGUUGGGUUAAGUCCCGCAACGAGCGCAACCCCUACUGUGUGUUGUAUCACUCACACGGGACUGCCGAGAGAAACUCGGAGGAAGGUGGGGAUGACGUCAAGUCAGCAUGGCCCUUACGUCCUGGGCUACACCCACGCUACAAUGGCCGGUACAACGGGCGGCGAAACCGCGAGGUGGAGCAAAUCCCUUAAAGCCGGUCUCAGUUCGGAUUGUAGGCUGCAACUCGCCUACAUGAAGCCGGAGUUGCUAGUAACCGCAGGUCAGCAUUACUGCGGUGAAUAUGUUCCCGGGCCUUGUACACACCGCCCGUCACGUCAUGAAAGCUGGCAACACCCGAAGCCGGUGGGCCAACCGCAAGGAGGCAGCCGUCGAAGGUGGGGUCGGUGAUUGGGACG
Molecule: ribosomal RNA, 554 nt
Filed under: uncultured bacterium
Lineage: Bacteria
Description: bacterial SSU rRNA
Rfam family: Bacterial small subunit ribosomal RNA
Source: RNAcentral